RNAcentral lists this RNase P RNA (401 nucleotides) under Stappia sediminis. Its description in RNAcentral is "Bacterial RNase P class A". It matches the Rfam family "Bacterial RNase P class A". From Rfam's summary of the family: Ribonuclease P (RNase P) is a ubiquitous endoribonuclease, found in archaea, bacteria and eukarya as well as chloroplasts and mitochondria. Lineage: Bacteria; Pseudomonadati; Pseudomonadota; Alphaproteobacteria; Hyphomicrobiales; Stappiaceae. The record is from Rfam by way of RNAcentral.
CCAGCCGGCCGGACGGCCGCUCCCGCAAAUGCGGAAACGCAGCGGGGGAGGAAAGUCCGGACUCCAUGGAAAUACGGUGCCGGGUAACGCCCGGCGGGGGCAACCCCAGGGAAAGUGCCACAGAAAGCAAACCGCCCCAUUCGCGCCGAGAGGCGCCGGGGUAAGGGUGAAAGGGUGGGGUAAGAGCCCACCGCGCGACCGGUAACGGAAGCGGCACGGUAAACCCCACCGGGAGCAAAACCGAAUAGGGGCGGCGCGGGCUCGCGCCCGGCCGAUUUCCAGGUCAGCCGCCCGGGUAGGUUGCAGGAGACGCACGGUAACGCGCGUCCCAGAUGAAUGGCCGUCACGCGGGCGGGAAACCGCCGGCCAUACAGAAUCCGGCUUACAGGCCGGCUGGCAAU